UGUCAAUAAGAUGACUUUCAAAACACUGAUUUCAGACAUUACACAAGAAUAUUAUCUGACUAAAGAGAGAGAGACUAAUAAGGUAUAUAGGAAGUUAGCAAUGACAGAUAAUUUAAAUAUGUAAUUCUGAGCUUUCAGUUAAAUGACACAAAUAAGGGUCACAUGAAACAUUUGUUAUCUAUGGAGAUCAGAGAAUAAAAGGCCUCAUUACCUAUAUAUCAUACUAUCUGCAAAUGUAUGAUUAUGGAUCCAAAUAGCAAACUGUCUACUUUGGGGGCUGUCAAGCUUUAAAAACACACACCAGGAGGUCUCUACUUUAUUUCUUAAAUUCAGACCUAAAAUAUCCAGAAAAUGGUGACAUCUAUUUUUGAAGUAAUGAUAAACACUUCUCUGAUCUGGUUAUUAAAAUAAUAUCCUAAACAAGAAAUUCCAGCAUUGUAACAAUGAAAAUGUUAACUGUAGUAAAACAAAAUCAGUACUAAUGUGAAACUCUCAUAUAAUGGAAGACAAGCUGCCUUAAAUCAGUCUUUACAGUUCUUUCAAUCUUUCCCUUAGUGGUACCCAUUAAUGACAAACAGCAUUUCUUAGAGUGAAAUACCAUCCCACCACAAAUGCAUUCAUCACGCUCUAAUCAUGUUCACACAAACAUAAGUGUGCAUUCAUACAGUAUUGAUUUUAUUUUCUCUAUCAUAUUCAUGAUGCUAAUCACCAAAACAGUGAAAGAGUAUUAGAUUUGUUUUCACACUGCUAUAACAGUAACUUACUAUUUAAAAUGUCUCACUUUAGAAAUUGCUUUUUAAGAGUUAAAAUAAGCAGCCUGUAACACAGGCAUCUAAGUGAAACUCUUUUAAUCCAGUUAUUCACAACCAAUAUUGAAAGAUAAAUACUUAAGAGAAGACUAACAUAAAACGAUCAAAAUUAUUUCCAGAAUUCUGAUGUAUUCUUCAAUGAUGGUAAGAAUUCCAGAGCCUCAGGAUAGGUAAGCCUCGUGCUACCCUAAAAAGACAUAUUUUCUACUUUGUGCAGAAAGAUGAACUUUUCAUUACACAUUACACAUCUCCAUAUCUAGUACAUUAGUGAACUAGCAGUGGAUUCAUAAUAGCCUUGAAGAACCGCAUCUUUAACUCCUAAAAUAAGUUCCUACAAAUGGUAACUUAAAACUGAAAAGGGGAAGAUGAGGGUGCAAAGACGUACUUUCAUCGUCGUGUGACACAGGAAGUCGGACUUUUAACACAUCCUUCCUUUUUCUCUUAAAAUGUUACUCAGGCUGAAGACAAGUGGCCGUUUGAGAAUUAGGCCCUCUUUGCAAGUCUUUAAUAUCGGCGGAAUGAAUGGGAGUUUUAGAAAUGAUAAACCCUUCCGUCCCAUAACACCUAACCCCAACCCCUAACAUCUGUAGCUCAGACACCUCUCUGCAUCUUUACACCCUUCUCCUCCAUUGGCCAGGCCACCAAAGAAGUACUUCUUUGACUUCUUGAUCCCUUCUCAGUUCACACUCAUGCAUUCAUUAUCAUUCUCUUUCUCCUUUCUCUUUCUCUCCCUCCUUCCCUCUCUCUCUCUCAAACGCGCACACACACCCGCGGGCACACACACAGCGUCUUCACGAUGCGUACAGAACUGUCCUGAUCCCAUUAGCGUAGCCCAUCAAGAAGGGCUUCCCCACCGUCCUCGCACCAAAUUUCAACACAUGCCCACUCCCCUUCUUGGACCUCUUGUCCCGACUCCCAGUCCCGCUCCCACUGGCCGGGGGACUCGGGGAACGCGGAGAGGGAGGGUAGAGACUCUGAAUACUUCUGUCCCCACCGGCUCGCCGUCCCCUCGCCCCCGCCCCCGCCCCGGCGGCGUUACCCGCCCCCUUCCCGCUCUUUACCUGCCAACAGCCUCCGAGGCCAGCCGCUGGACAGGCCACGCCCACAGCUACGUCAGGGAGCAGGAGGAGGAGCGGCUGGUGGGAAGGGAGCGGACUGGGGCUGCAUCACCUGAUCCGGCGCCUGAAGCGUCUUGCUGCCAUUUUGGGUGCUGGUACCACUACAAUUGCUGACCAGUUCUCCAGGAUCUUGGAAAAUAAGGUGGAUCUCAAGAGAAGAGAUGGACCCAAAUCCCUGUCUUGCUUUCGAAUCAGGCUUCCCAGAAUACGUGCACUAGGCGCAUGCCAAGAAAAUGCUCCUUCUUUGAAAAAUACCUUCCACAUCUGUAAUACCUGUGCUGUCAUGCCGUUGCCAAAGUAAAGAACUAUCAAGACGAUACAUCAACAUGGAAGGUCAAAAGCCCUGACAUGUAAAUACAAGAAGAUGGACCUGAAUGAAUUAACAGAAAGCAUCUCCUAUUUUCACUUUCACAUAUUGUUUCUUAAUUUUAAAAAUAAAAGCUAGUGUAAAAAGCAAUAAAUUUGACACAAAUUAUUAGUACAAGUCUUCAAACUUUAUGCCUUCAAAUAAAUUCACGUUCUUGAUUUUCAUAAUGAGACAGUAUAGUGUUACUCAAAGUAUAGUCUAUGGACAGGUGCCAGUCCAAAAGCUGUUACUAGUGCGUGAAAAGAUAAGCAUAAAAAGUGCAAGUAUUUAGAAACUUUUAUAGCAGUUUGACUCUGCCUGAGUAUCUCUUAUUGUAUUUUAUUAAUGUAUCAGUUGGCAUGGCUUAGAAAUUUAACAACAAAAAAUAAAUGGUCCUUCACCAUAGAUAGCUUGAGAAGCACUGACAGAAAUAACUAAGAUCAAUAGACAUUACCCAAACUUAAAUUAAUAGUUUAAACUUUUUUCUUAUUAAUUUUGUUUUUUUAAUCAGAGCUGCAAUACCUGCUGUGAGUACAUAAUCAAAUUGAGUAGAACAGAAAGAUUUUGUUAACCUAGUGUCAUUUUUUACAACACCAUGAUCAGUAAUAUAAUUUCUAAAUACUAUUUAAACAAAGUUUGUAUCUUCUUGUAUGUAUCCCUAACACCUACCACACUCACAAAAUAGGUACUAAAUAAAAAUGUGUUCAGUUAAUGGCACAUCAGCGUGGACUGCCCAUAAUCAAUCAGGUCAAUCAAAUCUUUGCUAUCCAACUCAACUCACAGAAUGACCUCAAGUUCUGUCUCUUCUAUAUGCCUUUCUGCUCCUUUAGGAAUGUCUGUGAGCUCCAUAUGAAUGUAUCAUGGAGGUUUAGCUUCCAACUCUCUGCCCAGAACUUUGCACAAUACCUGGCACCUAGUAGUUAAAUAAUUGUUGAAUGAAUGAUGAAUAAAUGCUGUCUGGCAGUAAAAUAACUGUAAGUGGAGAAUAAGAUCAGGAAAGGGGAAAAGCCAAGAACUGUAUCAAUUAGCUAUAGCUACAAAAAUGAAACAUAACAAACUCUCUCAAAAUUCACUGACUUAAAGCAACAAUAAUAGAGAUCUUUAGUGGUCAGCUGAAGGUUAACUAAUCCAGGCUGGGCUCAGCUAGGGCUGUUCAGCUCUACUCUAUGUGACUCUUGUCUUGGGCAUGUUCUUCUCAGGUGCAAGAGAGCAUACUCAGUCAUGUAAGUGCUUUUCAAGCCUUUGAUUGCAUCACAACUGCUAAAAUCUCAUUGGCCAAAGCAAGUCACGCGAUCCAUCCCAGAGCCAGGGGGGUGGGGAAAUACUCCAUAACUGCAGUGAGAGGAUGCUGCAAAAUUACUGCAAAGGAAUUGGAUGUAUAAUCUUAUUUCUGGGGAAGGAAUGAAGAGUUGGAACAAUAACCCAGUCCACCACACUGCAGCAGGCAGAACAAUGACCCUCCCCCAAAGAAGUCCACGUGCUAAUCCCCAGAACCUGGGAAUAUGUUACCUUACAUGGCAAAAGGGACUCUGUAGAAGUGAUUAAAUUAAGGAUCUUGAUAUAGGGAGAUUAUCCAGGUGAGCCCAAUG
Molecule: long non-coding RNA, 3862 nt
Organism: Equus caballus (horse)
Lineage: Eukaryota; Metazoa; Chordata; Mammalia; Perissodactyla; Equidae
Source: RefSeq, a predicted model, not a curated record